Solanum dulcamara is the source of this 103-nucleotide small nuclear RNA. Lineage: Eukaryota; Viridiplantae; Streptophyta; Magnoliopsida; Solanales; Solanaceae. The record is from RefSeq and is a predicted model, not a curated record.
UUCUGUGUCAGCAGACAUCUGAUAAAAUUGGAACGAGACAGAGAAAAUUAAUAUGACUCCUACGCAAGGAUGACACACACAAAGAACUUUGUACAAUCCUUUU